UUAAGCGACUAAGCGUACACGGUGGAUGCCCUGGCAGUCAGAGGCGAUGAAGGGCGUGCUAAUCUGCGAUAAGCGCCGGUAAGGUGAUAUGAACCGUUAUAACCGGCGAUACCCGAAUGGGGAAACCCAGUGUGAUUCGUCACACUAUCAUUAACUGAAUCCAUAGGUUAAUGAGGCGAACCGGGGGAACUGAAMCAUCUAAGUACCCCGAGGAAAAGAAAUCAACCGAGAUUCCCCCAGUAGCGGCGAGCGAACGGGGAGGAGCCCAGAGCCUGAAUCAGCAUGKGUGUUAGKGGAAGCGUCUGGAAAGGCGCGCGAUACAGGGUGACAGCCCCGUACACAAAAGCGCAUGUGCUGUGAGCUCGAUGAGUAGGGCGGGACACGUGGUAUCCUGUCUGAAUAUGGGGGGACCAUCCUCCAAGGCUAAAUACUCCUGACUGACCGAUAGUGAACCAGUACCGUGAGGGAAAGGCGAAAAGAACCCCGGCGAGGGGAGUGAAAAAGAACCUGAAACCGUGUACGUACAAGCAGUGGGAGCCCCACCACUAAGCCAGUGGUGAACUCCACAUACGCAUCCUUUGCUGAGGAUACGGUUAACGGAGCGAAAGCGACGUUCAACCUCAAAAGAAGCAGAGGGGGCUUAGUGGUGGGGUGACUGCGUACCUUUUGUAUAAUGGGUCAGCGACUUAUAUUCUGUAGCAAGGUUAACCGAAUAGGGGAGCCGGAGGGAAACCGAGUCUUAAUUGGGCGUUAAGUUGCAGGGUAUAGACCCGAAACCCGGUGAUCUAGCCAUGGGCAGGUUGAAGGUUGGGUAACACUAACUGGAGGACCGAACCGACUAAUGUUGAAAAAUUAGCGGAUGACCUGUGGCUGGGGGUGAAAGGCCAAUCAAACCGGGAGAUAGCUGGUUCUCCCCGAAAGCUAUUUAGGUAGCGCCUCGUGAAUUCAUCUCCGGGGGUAGAGCACUGUUUCGGCUAGGGGGUCAUCCCGACUUACCAACCCGAUGCAAACUGCGAAUACCGGAGAAUGUUAUCACGGGAGACACACGGCGGGUGCUAACGUCCGUCGUGAAGAGGGAAACAACCCAGACCGCCAGCUAAGGUCCCAAAGUCAUGGUUAAGUGGGAAACGAUGUGGGAAGGCACAGACAGCCAGGAUGUUGGCUUAGAAGCAGCCAUCAUUUAAAGAAAGCGUAAUAGCUCACUGGUCGAGUCGGCCUGCGCGGAAGAUGUAACGGGGCUAAACCAUGCACCGAAGCUGCGGCAGCGACACUCAGGUGUUGUUGGGUAGGGGAGCGUUCUGUAAGCCUGUGAAGGUGGCCUGUGAGGGUUGCUGGAGGUAUCAGAAGUGCGAAUGCUGACAUAAGUAACGAUAAAGCGGGUGAAAAGCCCGCUCGCCGGAAGACCAAGGGUUCCUGUCCAACGUUAAUCGGGGCAGGGUGAGUCGACCCCUAAGGCGAGGCCGAAAGGCGUAGUCGAUGGGAAACGGGUUAAUAUUCCCGUACUUGGUGUUACUGCGAAGGGGGGACGGAGAAGGCUAUGUUGGCCGGGCGACGGUUGUCCCGGUUUAAGCGUGUAGGUGUGUGUUCCAGGUAAAUCCGGUUCACUUUAACACUGAGGCGUGACGACGAGGCACUACGGUGCUGAAGCAACAAAUGCCCUGCUUCCAGGAAAAGCCUCUAAGCAUCAGGUAACAUCAAAUCGUACCCCAAACCGACACAGGUGGUCAGGUAGAGAAUACCAAGGCGCUUGAGAGAACUCGGGUGAAGGAACUAGGCAAAAUGGUGCCGUAACUUCGGGAGAAGGCACGCUGACACGUAGGYGAAGUGAUUUACUCAUGGAGCUGAAGUCAGUCGAAGAUACCAGCUGGCUGCAACUGUUUAUUAAAAACACAGCACUGUGCAAACACGAAAGUGGACGUAUACGGUGUGACGCCUGCCCGGUGCCGGAAGGUUAAUUGAUGGGGUMAGCGCAAGCGAAGCUCCUGAUCGAAGCCCCGGUAAACGGCGGCCGUAACUAUAACGGUCCUAAGGUAGCGAAAUUCCUUGUCGGGUAAGUUCCGACCUGCACGAAUGGCGUAAUGAUGGCCAGGCUGUCUCCACCCGAGACUCAGUGAAAUUGAACUCGCUGUGAAGAUGCAGUGUACCCGCGGCAAGACGGAAAGACCCCGUGAACCUUUACUAUAGCUUGACACUGAACAUUGAGCCUUGAUGUGUAGGAUAGGUGGGAGGCUUUGAAGCGUGGACGCCAGUCUGCGUGGAGCCGACCUUGAAAUACCACCCUUUAAUGUUUGAUGUUCUAACGUGGACCCGUUACCCGGGUUGCGGACAGUGUCUGGUGGGUAGUUUGACUGGGGCGGUCUCCUCCUAAAGAGUAACGGAGGAGCACGAAGGUUGGCUAAUCCUGGUCGGACAUCAGGAGGUUAGUGCAAUGGCAUAAGCCAGCUUGACUGCGAGCGUGACGGCGCGAGCAGGUGCGAAAGCAGGUCAUAGUGAUCCGGUGGUUCUGAAUGGAAGGGCCAUCGCUCAACGGAUAAAAGGUACUCCGGGGAUAACAGGCUGAUACCGCCCAAGAGUUCAUAUCGACGGCGGUGUUUGGCACCUCGAUGUCGGCUCAUCMCAUCCUGGGGCUGAAGUAGGUCCCAAGGGUAUGGCUGUUCGCCAUUUAAAGUGGUACGCGAGCUGGGUUUAGAACGUCGUGAGACAGUUCGGUCCCUAUCUGCCGUGGGCGCUGGAGAACUGAGGGGGGCUGCUCCUAGUACGAGAGGACCGGAGUGGACGCAUCACUGGUGUUCGGGUUGUCAUGCCAAUGGCACUGCCCGGUAGCUAAAUGCGGAAGAGAUAAGUGCUGAAAGCAUCUAAGCACGAAACUUGCCCCGAGAUGAGUUCUCCCUGAGACUUAGAGUCUCCUGAAGGAACGUUGAAGACGACGACGUUGAUAGGCCGGGUGUGUAAGCGCAGCGAUGCGUUGAGCUAACCGGUACUAAUGAACCGUGAGGCUUAACCUU
This 3005-nucleotide ribosomal RNA is filed under the name Salmonella enterica subsp. enterica serovar Manhattan. Its description in RNAcentral is "bacterial LSU rRNA". It matches the Rfam family "Bacterial large subunit ribosomal RNA". Lineage: Bacteria; Pseudomonadati; Pseudomonadota; Gammaproteobacteria; Enterobacterales; Enterobacteriaceae. The record is from RNAcentral.